GUUGAUCAUGGCUCAGGAUGAACGCUAGCUACAGGCUUAACACAUGCAAGUCGAGGGGCAGCAUUGGGAUAGCUUGCUAUUCAGAUGGCGACCGGCGCACGGGUGAGUAACGCGUAUCCAACCUUCCUGCCAGUAGGGAACAGCCCGGCGAAAGUCGGAUUAAUGCCCUAUGUUCUUCAAUGCGGACAUCUAAGUUGAAGGAAAGAUUCAUCGCUGGCAGAUGGGGAUGCGUCCGAUUAGCUUGCCGGCGGGGUAACGGCCCACCGGGGCGACGAUCGGUAGGGGUUCUGAGAGGAAGGUCCCCCACACUGGUACUGAGACACGGACCAGACUCCUACGGGAGGCAGCAGUGAGGAAUAUUGGUCAAUGGGCGUAAGCCUGAACCAGCCAAGUAGCGUGCAGGACGACGGCCCUACGGGUUGUAAACUGCUUUUAUGCGGGGAUAACCGGCGCCACGCGUGGCGCCCUGCAGGUACCGCAUGAAUAAGGACCGGCUAAUUCCGUGCCAGCCGCCGC
This 516-nucleotide ribosomal RNA is filed under the name uncultured bacterium. RNAcentral's name for it is "bacterial SSU rRNA". It matches the Rfam family "Bacterial small subunit ribosomal RNA", at positions 11 to 518 of the family's 1533-position model. The record is from RNAcentral.